UCAUGGUUUUUUCAUCAUUUG
This 21-nucleotide non-coding RNA is filed under the name Caenorhabditis elegans. Lineage: Eukaryota; Metazoa; Nematoda; Chromadorea; Rhabditida; Rhabditidae. The record is from RNAcentral.